ACGCCCCCGGCUCCGAGCAAGUCGCGUCCUCUCCUCGCGAGAGGGCCUCUCCCGCCCAUGAAGGCUCCGAGACGGAAGUGGGGUACCGGAAGCGACAGUUGCCAUGGAACCUGCGGAGGACUGGCUGGUGGAAUCCUUGCGCUUGUACCAGGAUUUUCAUGCAUUCGACCUUUCAGGAGCCACUCGGGUACUUGAAUGGAUUGGUGACAAAGGAAUCUUUGUUGCUGGCUAUGAAAGCCUGAAAAAAAAUGAAAUUCUUCAUCUGAUGUUACCGCUCAGACUUUCUGUAAAAGAAAACCAGGGCUUAUUCCCAGAAAGAGAUUUCAAGGUAUGCCACGGAGGAUUUUCACACAGGUCUGUCUUUGAUCUGAAGCACGUGCCAAACACCAGGUUGCUGGUGACCAGUGGCCUUCCAGUGGCCUUGCAGGUGUGGCAGGUCUCAGAGGACAGUGAUAUCAUUGAAGCUGUCAGCACUAUUGCUGUGCACGAGAAAGAGGGGCAUCUCUGGCCUAGGGUGGCCAUCUUCCCAGCAGUAGCACCCGGAGUCCUCCACGGGGCGCGGCUCAGCAGUCUGCAGGUGGUGGAUCUGGAAUCCCAGAAGACCAUGUACACCUCAGGUGUCAGUGACAGCGAGGAGCUAAGUAGCCUGCAGGUCCUGGAUGCAGACACCUUUGCCUUCUGCUGCACCUCAGGCCGGCUGGGGCUCGUAGACACCCGCCAGAAGUGGGCCCCGUCAGAGAAUGGCAGCCCCAGCCCUGGGUCUGGUGGAGCGAGGUGGUAUGCGGAAGUUGGGGGCACGGCCCGGGGCCCUGGGCCCAGCAUCGCCAGCCUCUGCUCAGAUGGCCAGCUCUGUCUUCUUGAUCCCCGUGAUCUCUGUCAUCCUGUGAGCUCAGUCCAGUGCCCAGUGUCCACACCUAGCCCUGACCCAAAGCUGCUGCGAGUGACUUGGGCUCCAGGCUUGGAGAACUGCUUGGCCAUUUCAGGCUUUGAUGGGACAGUCCAGAUCUAUGACGUUACGUCUUGGGAUGGAAUGAAGGGCCAAGUAGAACCUCUGUUCACUCACAGAGGUCACAUUUUCCUAGACAGCAAUGGGAUAGACACAGCUCCACUGGUCACCACCCACACCUGGCACCCCCGCAAACCGAGAACUUUGCUGUCUGCAGCAAGCGAUGCCUCCCUGCAUGUGUGGGACUGGGUGGACCUCCGUACCUCCCACUGACCCCAGUGUCUUCCUGCCAGGCCUCUAGGAUGAGGAGGAGCUGCUAUACAUCAAGGGUACCGAUUUGGGACUCAGGUGACUACAAAUCCCUGUUACUGGCUGAGUGGCCUUGGGCAAGUUAACCAGCCUCUCUUAGCCCCAGUUUCUUUAUUUGUAACAUGAGAGUAGUACCAACUACCUCACAGGAUUGUUGGGGCAGUCAGAGGUAAUAUAUGAAGAAACACCUGGUGUGUGUGGCACAGUAAAGAUUUGGUGGCUUCUUAAAGCAGUCGUGUGCAACAGGCUCCUGCUGCCUCCAGCACGCUUCAGUCUAAUGGGCUUUCAGCACAUAGGCAUCUCAGAGGCCUGAGAGAGACGCCGCCCUUCCCAGUGGCCUGUGGGAGGGAUUCUCAAGAUUGCUGUUGACCAUACACGAUCAUCCCCUGUGCACUGACCUUACGGCCCAGCUCCCAUGUGAGCUGUGCCUCCCAGCAGUUUAUACGCCCAGCAGUUUAUACGGUUGGGAGACUGACAUACAGUGAUAAAGACACCCAUGUUGGAGUCAGACAGAUGAGGGCCCAAGUCCUGCCUCUGUGCAGUUUCUCCUCUCUGUGAAAUGGGCAUAAACCUUGCACCAGCUCACAGCGGCUGAGAGGGUUAAAUGAGACCCUGCGAUAAAGUGCUCAGCACAAGGCCUGACACACUAUGAAUACUCAGUAAAUGCAACUUAGUAUUUUCACUCUGUGUUCUGGACUGGAGGACUGACAUAGUUGUGUUGAAGAGACUGUAGAGCUCUAGUCCUGGAGAGAAGUGAAGGGAGAAGGUCAUGUUCUCUGGGGCUGGGACAAAGUUAUCAAAGUGAGUGAGUGGGAGCCCCCAUCCUGGGCCACAUCAGUGAGGAAGCCUGAGUCAUGCCCACCAGACCGUGGAAUCUGUAGUUCCCAUGUGGUCUAAUACAUUCCUAAUAGAUCUUGAUAUGAAUUUCCACCUAAGUAAAGUAUUUUACAUUGAAAAGAGUGAGGUGAUUUAAAAUAAUCCAUAUGAGACUUAUUUUCUGACUAUACGAAAACUCUAAACUCAGAUUUCUGGGAUACGUUUUUGAAAGCCAGUCCCAAAAGGGCUCUUUUAAAAGUCUCAAAAGCAGCAUCUCAAAACUGAUGUCCUUUGAAGAGAUUCUAUUUUGGGGAAGCAGACAUUGGGCAGAGCCACAUCUCAUCGACAAGAGAGAGGACCAGGCUAGAUAAUAAGCAAGCUUUUGAUACUGUGAACAUUUAUUUAGCCUGCCUUCCCAUGUGCAAGACACUGCUCUGUGUGCUGGAAGUACAGGGGCGUGAGGCUUUCUCAGGUGGCUUAAAGACGGUCCUUAAAGGAAGACUCAAAGAAUGUCUUCAGUAGUGACAACAUCUAAAGGCCACAGCCCACCAAAGUGACUGCUCUUGACAGACAACCCUUAUUUGGAUCUGAAAGCAUGAAGUGAACUGCAAAUGUAACCGAUUUCUGAAUUCAGAAGAAUGGAAACAAUGUGAAAGAGGUCCUUAGCAGACACUUAAAAAAAAAGUCAUCGAUGUCAGCAGACAGAACAUAGACAACUCUCCAUUAACCAGGGACCAGUCAACUGGAAUGUGGCGGAAGCACGGAUAAGACCGGCAGACUUCUGGGUCUCAACUAUGAGAAAUUCAUCCCUCCAAUCUGAAGUUGGCUGUAGUUUUAAUUUGGGGUUAUCUAUGCUCCCUUAUUUCUACGUACCUGGUUAAAUGAUAGUUAUAGUUAAAAUUCAGGUAGAAAUUUAAGAGAGAAACCAUAAACACUAAUUAUUUGUUUGUAUCUAAUUUCCAAGGUAACUAAGGUUCAAAGUUAGGAGAACAGGCUUUUCAGUUCUCCCAACUCCCACGGUUUCAGCACCACUGAGAACAGUAAACCAGGAAGGCCAAAUGCCUGGGUUCCUUUCCCAGCCCCGGCCCAGUGCUGGCUCAUCCAUAUUCCGAAUUCCAGGUCUGUCUUCUCUGGUGGUGGAAUUACUGGCUUUCACUCAUGUCCCACCCGCACAGGAAGUUUUCCGAAUUUUCCUUGAAGUCCUGGAAAUCGUCAUUCGGAAGCUCUUCACAUCUGUCCAACCUUGAGACUUCGUCUGGCUGAGGAACUGAAAGUCUGCUCAAGGGAAAGCAAGAAAAGUCGUAGAGUUCGUCUGUAAUUCCCUUUCUGUUCUCAUAUCCGGAAGUGGUAAGUGAAACGAGAAUGGAAGCACCUCCUAGAGAGGUCUAGUUUUCAGAAGAAAAAGUUCAGUGACUCAGGAAAUUUGCCCCCUUAAGUGAGCGUAUGUGACAAUGAAUGUAUCUAUUUUAAUAAUUAUGGUAACAAUAAUAAUGAAAACUAACAUUUGCGGGGUGCUAACAGUGUGCCAGUAUCCUCUUAACAGCCCGCGGAGGCAGAUACUGUCACUGUCCAUUUAACAGAUGAGAAAAUUGAGGCUCAGGACACUUAACCAGCUUGCCCAGAACACAGGCCUUUAGGUGGCAGGCUAUGGUAUGUAGUACACGCAGAGUUCACAUCUGUGGGGUACUUUAAAUGGAAACAAACUGAAACUUCAACCUCUUCUCUGUUUUUGUGAUACUGAUACUGAAAGCAGGCAGAGAGAUCCCUCUGCUACAGAGCAGAGCUAAACCCUCAGUGUGGACUUCGUGAGUCCCCCAGGACUGUUGGUUCAGUGGGGGGUUGAUUUUAAUAUUUAGGAGAAGUAAAUAAUGUUCCUCUAAAGAAGUCAGCAAUUUUCCUCCUGACAGGGCCAUUCCAGGAACCAUUCUAGUGAUAGCAGAGUGACAGACAAUAAGCGUGUCUCCUGAUUCACAGUCCCUCAGCUUCCCACAUGACUCUCCCCCAGUGGUGGGAAUUGCUUACCACUGGGGUUCCCCCUCAAAGCCUGGGGAACACGGCUUCUGGGCUCCUGGGGCUCCUCUGCCAUUUUAUUACCAUUCCAUCCCCUGUCGCAGCUCCCAGCACUGCCUUCUGGUUCUUGGAGUCCCCUCCAUUGCAGAGGAGGUCUGCCACCUCUCAGGCACUGAUGGUAUUGGCAAGGGCCCAGGGACUCAUCAAGCGUCCAUCUCGUCAUAGAAGGGGCAGGUGCCUGGACUGUGGGUGCUCUUGGCUUUGUGGUAGUGGGUCUGGAAGUUUUUGAACCGGUGGCAUCACUGCUCCAGGGUCCAUAGGAAAUCACAUUCCUGCAGCCGCUCAGCCACAGGCCAGUACACCUGGUGGUUCCAAUGGCAGGUGCGGAGUUUUUCAUGGAUCCAGGAUUCACUGAGAAUUUCCAGAGAAAUCUUGGUUUUGUCAUAGCCCCAUUGCACCUCUGCCACCUUCUCAUCCUCCAGGCCCUGCCACUCCAGCUCAUCCCAGGUCUUGGCUUUUCUCAGGACAGGCAACCGGCCAGGCUGGACUCUUCCCCACCACCCGCUGGGGAGCCUCGCACAUGCUUCCUCCCUCUGGAGCGCUGACGAUCUGAGCUCUGUGGCUCUAUCUCCUCCAUGUGAGAGUUCACACUGGGCCUGUGGGUUGAGAAAUCUGUUUGCAGGGAGACAAAUAGAAGAUGUAAUGGUUUGGUGAAUCUAAUCCUAACAACUAAAUACCAGGAAGGAAGGCUCAGUGCAAGUCAUGUCAAGGACUGUGAGAGAAUAAGAAAAAAAUCAGGCCCAAAUCUCUAGUUAUAUAUCUAUAUCCACCUAUCUGGACACCUGCCAGAGGUGUUACCACCUUCCUAAGAUGGGCUUCAAUGCAGCACCCACUGUGGACUCCAGAAACACCCUUCACAGCACUGAUGAUGGUAUUAGAUUUAUAUGUCUCUUCAAGUGGAAUUGAUGGAAUGGAUUUGAAAAACUCAACUCAAAAGGUCUGGAGUGGUGAAUGCCACAGAAACCCCACAGCUAAUUUGGUUGUAAAAAAAGAAGAGCAUUAUUACCUAGCAAGGCUCCAUUUGCAGAUUUCUCCCAACUUAUUUCCAGAUGGUUCCUCUGUUCAGGUUCUGGUCGCCUCUGUCCCUCCUGAGAGAGACAUACACAGCCACACCACCAAAUGUCACCAACUCCUGAGAAAACAGAACACCUCUACUCAAAACACGCUACCAUUGGACAAACUGCCUCUAUACUGCCUGAGUCAGAGGGCAGGGGACAAAACAGACUCAGAAGAAACUAACAAACAAGUGAGUUUCCUUUGGCUUUUAAAUGGAACGGGGAGCACAGGAAGGGAGCAGGGGAAGAGAAAGAAAGAGAAGAAAUAAGCUAACAUUUACUGAACAGCUGUGCCCUGUGCUAGAAACCUUUCAUACUUGUUUAGGUUACACAGUAUGUGGCAGACUUAGGAUUUGAACUCGGCUGUCGGACUCCGAAGCUCCCCCACCCCCACUUCACAAUCUUGCAUACCAAGAUCCAGAUAGACAAAGAAGGACUGUUUCUUCUUACCUCUCUUGUGGAAGAACUGGAGUUCUACCUUGGGACUGUGGUUCAGCUAUUCUUCUGGCUCUGGCUGUGAGCGCUUCACCAGUGCCUGGCACAGACACAUGGGUUCUGUCUGCUGGCCUCAAAUGGAUGUUUAGGAAACCCAGUUCUGAUCCUGAGGGUUACCUCUCCUCUGAGAGCAUCUCCUCUCUCUGUUCAAGAACUGGAGUGGUCAAAAUUCUGUAGGCACUAAAAGUAAUCAUCUCAGGACACAAGAAAAGGAGGAAAUCAGUCUUACACAAAUCUCUACAAGGGCAGUGAGGCGUGUGGAUGUGUGGAAGACUUGAGAGAGUUAAAGGGUGGCACCAGGCCCACUGCAGGCUGCUCACCAGCUCUCCUGGGGCUGUUCCUGUCAACCCUUAGGCAAAACUCAGAGAUCCAAUCAAUAAUAAAGCUAUUUUGCAAUAGGAUGCAAAGAUUCAGUAAUGUCAGUGGAGACCAGUGGAGCCCCUUGAUUCAGGCUGGCUGUCGCUGAAUGCCAGCUGUUCUCCAAAAAGAGAACAGCUUUUAUGUGUUCUGUGAUCCUGAGUGGUGCUCCAGCCAUUUUAAGUGAUUCUCAUUUAAGGACCAACACUCAGAGCAGCCAGCGUUGGGCAUUCUCUGAGGAGUCAGUCUGAACUUGGGAGGAAAGGGGCAGCUAACAGGCCUGGGGGAUAAGCAGAUUCCACUUUGACACAAACAGCAAAGUGCUACACAUCCCCCACACUGCUGUUAACCCCAGGUGGCUCUGUCUCUCACGUUCCUCUAUUUUAACUACUCAGCACUAAGUUCUUGUAUCUCACCCCGAGGGGAAAUUUCCUUUUUCCAGUGAGAAUCUUCUGCCAGCUUCACUCUUCGAAGUUCUCCCUGUACUUGAGGAGCCUGGAUUUGUUGGUCCACAGCUACAGCCAUUGUUCAGCUCAGAGAAGAACCUUUCAGCUGUGCUCUGAAGUUCAAACCCCUUCCUUUACCUUACUGGGAAGCCACCUUCAAAUAGGGGUCACUACAUAGAACUUGAAAUUCUAGAGCCAGAGACAUAACAUUACAGAGUGAACUCUAGUGAAAACCACAAGUGUUAGCCCAACAGGAUUUAGGUGAAGGAAAGAACCUUCCUGUUCUCUCCUCCUCAUGUCCUGGUGCCUGUGGAGGCUGGUCCUCUGUCACUGGGGACACAGCUCCAGAAGUUUGAUAGCAAGGAUCAAGGAUCAAGGACUAGUGAUCUGGUUGGAAACUAGGACAGCUCGAAGCUCUGUCUGAGCUGCGGGAUAUAAUAAGGACAAUAAACAGCCCAUCCCACAAGGCACUGCUCUUCAGUGUUGCAAAGUGAACGUGCAGGGGAAGUCGGAGACGGCGCUCAAGGUAGCAGUACCUUGGAGAGCAGCACCCUGAAAAGAAGCACCGGUUGACAGUGGCUCCAGGCUUUGGAGAUGCAAAUACUCUAACCAACUGCCUCCCCUCUGGCUGGAUUCUCAGCUUUGGGCUCCUCGUUCAGGAUUCCUCAGUCCUGGCAUCAUAACUCACUCCUAAAUAGGGAGAUUUACCCUGGUUAAAGUUACAAGCUUUAAGAGUAAGGAUAAUAUAUAGGAUGUUAAGAGUUGGAAAGAAAGUUAAGAUACUCCGGCAGGAACUCCAAGCUGAAGCAAUCACAGCUCAGAGACGCCCCCCCCCUCCUCCCAGAGACUUGCCCAAGGUCACAUAGCUGGUUUAUGGCAGGAAGUGGACAGUGGUUCGGCCCUUUGGCCGUGGACUGGGUAACUGACCCGCAGAGCGUGACUUAAAUUGCUCCGCAGGCGACGUUCUCUGGAUCUAUGGGGUAAAGGCGGGCCCUGAGGGCGGGCGUUGUCUCCUCGAUGGCUACAGAGCCGAGGUCGUCCCUGCUGGGCCCUGUGGGUGGUGAGGAGGAAGGCGCCUCAGCGUAAGGGGCUCAUCCUGCUCCAGGGUCUGCUCGCCGGACCUCGGCCUGAGGUGGUUGGACCCCAGAUCUCGACCCGGCCACGCCCACCCGAUGAGGGGGCCCAGGCCCGCGGUGAGAGCCGCUCCCGCCUGCUGCGGCCCUGCAACUGGGCGGCCUGACCCCAAGGCGCUCGAACCCUAGUCCAGACCCUUAGCCCGCACUCGGACGGCCACCAAACACCGGAAGCAGAAACACGAGCCCCAGAAGGACUCAGGCAUCCCCGGACUUCGUUUCCCGUAGGCCUCCGCCUGUGUCCGCAGACUGACAGCACCGUUAACCAAUAAAAUGGGAAUGGUUUGGGAGCCUAUUUGUUUCGGACGAAUCAUUGGUGAUGGGUGGGACCCUCCACGUUGGAUCUGGGGUCCCUAUCCACAACUACAAGUGACCCAGCUGGCGAGGAGGUGGUCCUGCUUCGCUUCCUGGACUCUCGCGGGAAUUAGGGGGAUUGGCAGCCAGUCGCCUGGCGGUUCCGUGGCACUGACAGAGUCCUUUCCAAAGCGUCUCCCUCAGAGCUGGAAGCGGGUGAAUUUAUUUACCUGUGUUACAAAGGUAAAGAAACCCAGGCGGCCUGGGCCCGAGAGCUCUCUGUGAAACGGAAACUCCAGUUAUUUAGCCGCAGAGGAAAGUGCUUUUCUGGCGUGGCUGUCCACUGUGGUGAUGCUCCGCCACCUGAAUCCGCCCCCUGAACCCGCCCCCUCGCCCAGCGCGCACACACUUCCUCCUCUCGCGCGUGCGCCUCGUUCUGAGGGACUGAAGACGGAUACCACAGACGCUUAUUCAAACGUCAGGUGUGGAGCGUCUACUUUGGGCCCAGCAAAACACUCUCUUAAGGAGUGCAGUCCAGCAAGGGACGCACUAAGACGCUACUGUGAAUAACCCGAAUAACUCCAACACAUUGUGGUAUUUUUCGUGGCUUUAAUAAUGCAGUGGAAUGAACCAACUUCAAGACUAGAGUAGUUAAGCCACAGGUGCUGGGUAAGUCACUUACUAACCUCUCCUCUGAGUCCCCACUUCCUCAGCUGGGAAGUGGGAAUACAGACCUCCACCAUAGGGCUGUUGUCAAGGUUAAGUGAGACAUGCAUGUAAAGAGCUUGUGCAGAGUAAAUGCUUUGUAAAUUGUG
Molecule: RNA transcript, 8736 nt
Organism: Pteropus alecto (black flying fox)
Lineage: Eukaryota; Metazoa; Chordata; Mammalia; Chiroptera; Pteropodidae
Gene: WDR73
Gene name: WD repeat domain 73
Exons: 10
Source: RefSeq, a predicted model, not a curated record